RNAcentral lists this unclassified non-coding RNA (323 nucleotides) under uncultured fungus. RNAcentral describes it as "sequence contains ITS1". The stretch from base 1 to 103 matches the Rfam family "5.8S ribosomal RNA", at positions 49 to 154 of the family's 154-position model. Lineage: Eukaryota; Fungi. The record is from RNAcentral.
UAAAUUGCGAUACGUAGCGCGAAUUGCAAAACUCGAGCGCUGAAUCUUUGAAUGCACAUUGCGCCAUUCGACUCGGUCGUCUGGCACGCCUGGCUCAGGGUUGACAAACUAAACAACAGCAGCGUUGUCUCAAUUGUCGUUCGUUCAAUUCGGUCUAAUGGCUCUAUGACCUGAAGAAUUGUCCGAACAUGUGGAUUAGUUGGUGUAUCAUCGACUUGAAAUCGGUCUGCGUCGACAUGAUUUUCUCGUCUUUCUCAGCAGCGAGAAACGAUGCGCCUUCUUCAUUCAACCUGAGCUCAGGCGUGAUUACCCGCUGAACUUAA